Long non-coding RNA from Cyprinus carpio carpio, 1059 nucleotides. The record is from Ensembl. Lineage: Eukaryota; Metazoa; Chordata; Actinopteri; Cypriniformes; Cyprinidae.
CGGAAAAGUAAUAUAUUCACAUAUAUGUGAAGCACUGUUAAAUAUAUUGAAAUAUAUUUUGAAAAUAUAUUUUAAAAAUACAUAUGUUGCGUGUGUGUGUUACAUUAUAUUCAUGCCUCAAAUAACUUUUAAUCAAUAUUAUAUUAUAUUAUAUUAUAUUAUAUUAUAUUAUAUUAUAUAGAUCCUAUAUUCUAAUUCUAUUUAGGCCUACUAUCAACUUAAUAUGUUAUCAAGUGUCAGGGCAAGUUUAUAAUUUUAUGUACUAUGCAAACGCUGUGUAAUGUGUUUGAUGGGCGCGCGCGUUGAUCAUUCGAGGCGAAUUUAAACUGGAGUGGAGGGAGUUACCAUGGAAACGGGGCGGCAACUCAGCUGACAAGUAGCAAAUCUCUCCGUCUCUCACUGUUGUUUUUACUGCUUUCAGGUAAGUUUAGUCCCUAAAAUUACACAAAUAAUACAUAGAACUUUUCCUGACACUUUCUUACAUGUAAUUGACACGCUUCUGUUGAAUAUUUACUUUACAGAAAUGGUUCAGUGUCAUGGGAAUAAGUCCGGUAGCAUCACAACCGUGAGCUAACAGAGGCUAACUAUAAGAGCUAACAGUUAAUCAGUUUGGGAGAAUGCAAACAACGUGAUUCCAACAUCCAGCCAUGCAAGAAAACGUGCAUUUUACCUGAGGGAAGACAGAAUCAAUAAGGAAAGUCGUCUUUCUUUAAUGUAGCAGAGUUGGAGUGGACCUCUUGUUGAAGAACUUCUCCAGGCACUAUGAACCAUCUGACUAGCCAUCCUGUUUAACACUGCACUGCAGACACUACAACCAGAGAGGUACAACAUAAUUCAAAAUGAGACACAGAUGAUAAUAAAAAAGUGCUUUGAAAUGAAAAUUAAUACUGGUAAGACAGAACCGAGUACUGUGACUGUGCCUCACUUCAAAGUGAAACAGUCUGUAAUGGUCAUCUGCCGUGCCAGAUCGAUGGUGAAGGUGGGAAUUAUAAGUAAGAUUUUCUAAACUUUAAAUGUAGUAAAGUGUUUGUUCAAGUAGACUUUGUUGCUUGUGGAAAC